CGGCGUGGAUUAGGCAUGCAAGUCGUACGCACAGCAAUGUGAGUGGCGCAAGGGUGAGUAAUACGAAGGUAACCAACCCUGAAGUUGGGCAUAGCCGCGGGAAACUGCGGGUAAAUUCCCAGCGACGUUGCGAGAUGGCAUCAUCUUGCAACCAAAGGGUGUGAUUCCGCUUUAGGACGGGCCUUCGUGGUAUUAGGUAGUUGGUGAGGUAACGGCUCACCCAAGCCUACGAUGCCUACCGGGUGUGAGAGCAUGACCCGGCACACUGGAACUGAGACACUGUCCAGACACCUACGGAUGGCUGCAGUCGAGAAUCUUCGGCAAUGGGCGAAAGCCUGACCGAGCGACGCCGCGUGAGGGAUUGAAGGCCUUCGGGUUGUAAACCUCUUUCGUAGAGGAGGAAGGGGCUGUGAAGAACAGUCCUUGACCUAUUCUAGGAAGAAGCUUGGGCUAAGUUCGUGCCAGCAGCCGCGGUAAGACGAACCAAGCGAACGUUAUUCGGAAUUACUGGGCUUAAAGCGCGUGUAGGCGGACUACCACGUUGGUUGUUGAAAUCCCCCGGCCUAACCGGGGAACUGGCACCAAUACGAGUAGUCUGGAGGUGGGUAGGGGAGACUGGAACUUCCGGUGGAGCGGUGAAAUGCGUUGAGAUCGGAAGGAACGCCCGCGGCGAAAGCGAGUCUCUGGACCCAUACUGACGCUGAGACGCGAAAGCCAGGGGAGCAAACGGGAUUAGAUACCCCGGUAGUCCUGGCUGUAAACAUUGGGCACUGGGUAGUGGAACCGCCGAUGGUUUCACUGCCGCAGGAAACCGUGAA
RNAcentral lists this ribosomal RNA (818 nucleotides) under uncultured organism. RNAcentral describes it as "bacterial SSU rRNA". It matches the Rfam family "Bacterial small subunit ribosomal RNA", at positions 40 to 863 of the family's 1533-position model. The record is from RNAcentral.